AACGAACGCUGGCGGCACGCCUAACACAUGCAAGUCGAACGAGACCUUCGGGUCUAGUGGCGCACGGGUGCGUAACGCGUGGGAACCUGCCCUUAGGUUCGGAAUAACUCCCCGAAAGGGGUGCUAAUACCGGAUAAUGUCUUCGGUCCAAAGAUUUAUCGCCUUUGGAUGGGCCCGCGUUGGAUUAGCUAGUUGGUAGGGUAAAAGCCUACCAAGGCGACGAUCCAUAGCUGGUCUGAGAGGAUGAUCAGCCACACUGGGACUGAGACACGGCCCAGACUCCUACGGGAGGCAGCAGUGGGGAAUAUUGGACAAUGGGCGAAAGCCUGAUCCAGCAAUGCCGCGUGAGUGAUGAAGGCCUUAGGGUUGUAAAGCUCUUUUACCCGGGAUGAUAAUGACAGUACCGGGAGAAUAAGCUCCGGCUAACUCCGUG
RNAcentral lists this ribosomal RNA (433 nucleotides) under uncultured bacterium. RNAcentral describes it as "partial 16S ribosomal RNA". It matches the Rfam family "Bacterial small subunit ribosomal RNA", at positions 29 to 507 of the family's 1533-position model. The record is from RNAcentral.